UGUCAGGGAAGUGUUGAGCUCUGAGGAAA
RNAcentral lists this non-coding RNA (29 nucleotides) under Homo sapiens (human). Lineage: Eukaryota; Metazoa; Chordata; Mammalia; Primates; Hominidae. The record is from RNAcentral.